RNAcentral lists this transfer RNA (76 nucleotides) under Desulfobulbaceae bacterium. RNAcentral's name for it is "tRNA-Thr". It matches the Rfam family "tRNA". From Rfam's summary of the family: Transfer RNA (tRNA) molecules are approximately 80 nucleotides in length. Lineage: Bacteria; Pseudomonadati; Thermodesulfobacteriota; Desulfobulbia; Desulfobulbales; Desulfobulbaceae. The record is from RNAcentral. RNAcentral also lists the same sequence under 3 other names.
GCCCACGUAGCUCAGUUGGUAGAGCGCAUCCUUGGUAAGGAUGAGGUCACCGGUUCAAUUCCGGUCGUGGGCUCCA